GAUGAACGCUGGCGGCGUGCCUAAUACAUGCAAGUCGAGCGAACGGACGAGAAGCUUGCUUCUCGGAUGUUAGCGGCGGACGGGAGAGUAACACGUGGAUAACCUACCUAUAAGACGGGGAUAACUUCGGGAAACCGGAGCUAAUAGCGGAGGAUAUUUUGAACCGCAGGGGUCAAAGGUGAAAGACGGUGUUGCUGGCACUUAUAGAUGGAUCUGCGCUGCAUUAGAUAGUUGGUAAGGUAACGGCUUACGAAGGCAAGGAGGCGUAGGCGACCGGAUGGGGUGAUCGGCGACACUGGAGCUGGGACGCCGUCCAUACUCCUGCGGGAGGCAGCAGUAGCGAACCUUCGGCAAUGGGCGAAAGCCUGACGGAGCAACGCCGCGUGUGUGAUGAAGGUCCUCGGAUCGUAAAACUCUGUUAUUAGUGAAGAACAUAUGUGUAAGUAACUGUGCACAUCUUGACGGUACCUAAUCAGAAAGCCCCGGCUAACUACGUG
Molecule: ribosomal RNA, 497 nt
Filed under: uncultured bacterium
Lineage: Bacteria
Description: partial 16S ribosomal RNA
Rfam family: Bacterial small subunit ribosomal RNA
Source: RNAcentral